This 247-nucleotide ribosomal RNA is filed under the name Enterobacter hormaechei subsp. hoffmannii. Its description in RNAcentral is "partial 23S ribosomal RNA". It matches the Rfam family "Bacterial large subunit ribosomal RNA", at positions 1121 to 1366 of the family's 2925-position model. Lineage: Bacteria; Pseudomonadati; Pseudomonadota; Gammaproteobacteria; Enterobacterales; Enterobacteriaceae. The record is from RNAcentral.
AUUUAAAGAAAGCGUAAUAGCUCACUGGUCGAGUCGGCCUGCGCGGAAGAUGUAACGGGGCUAAACCAUGCACCGAAGCUGCGGCAGCGACGCUUAGGCGUUGUUGGGUAGGGGAGCGUUCUGUAAGCCGUUGAAGGUGUGCUGUGAGGCAUGCUGGAGGUAUCAGAAGUGCGAAUGCUGACAUAAGUAACGAUAAAGCGGGUGAAAAGCCCGCUCGCCGGAAGACCAAGGGUUCCUGUCCAACGUU